This is a long non-coding RNA of Mustela erminea (ermine), 137 nucleotides long. RefSeq lists it as uncharacterized. NCBI's taxonomy places the organism in Eukaryota, Metazoa, Chordata, Mammalia, Carnivora, Mustelidae. The transcript has 3 exons. The record is from RefSeq and is a predicted model, not a curated record.
AAAGAAGCUAGGAAAAAGAGAGAUGAACAACUAUUGGAUCCCAAGGGGAGAAUUCAAGAGAUAAGUGAUAGCAUAAUAUGAAACAACAUUAGAUGAACUGGGAUCCCAGAAGAAGAAAGAGAGAGGGGGAAAGCAGA